Molecule: ribosomal RNA, 420 nt
Filed under: uncultured bacterium
Lineage: Bacteria
Description: bacterial SSU rRNA
Rfam family: Bacterial small subunit ribosomal RNA
Source: RNAcentral
UAAGGAAUAUUGCUCAAUGGGAGAAAUCCUGAAGCAGCAACGCCGCGUGGAGGAUGAAGGGUCUAUGACUUGUAAACUCCUGUAAAGAAGGAAAAAAUUCCCAUUAGAUGGGAGAUGAUGGUACUUCUGGAGUAAGCCCCGGCUAACUACGUGCCAGCAGCCGCGGUAAUACGUAGGGGGCAAGCGUUGUCCGGAUUUACUGGGUGUAAAGGGUGCUCAGGCGGAUUUGUAAGUCAGAGGUGAAAUCUUACAGCUUAACUGUGAAACUGCCUUUGAUACUGCAAGCCUAGAGUAUGGAAGAGAGUGAUGGAAUAUCUGGUGUAGCAGUGAAAUGCGUAGAUAUCAGUUAGAACACCAAUGGCGAAGGCAGUCACUUGGUCCAUUACUGACGCUAAAGCACGAAAGCGUGGGUAGCAAACA